RNAcentral lists this ribosomal RNA (429 nucleotides) under Fusobacteriota bacterium. Its description in RNAcentral is "Fusobacteria bacterium partial 16S ribosomal RNA". It matches the Rfam family "Bacterial small subunit ribosomal RNA", at positions 355 to 776 of the family's 1533-position model. The record is from RNAcentral. Lineage: Bacteria; Fusobacteriati; Fusobacteriota.
UGGGGAAUAUUGCGCAAUGGGCGAAAGCCUGACGCAGCGACGCCGCGUGAGGGAUGAAGGUUUUCGGAUCGUAAACCUCUGUCAGAAGGGAAGAAACCGCACUGUGCUAAUCAGCAGUGCCUUGACGGUACCUUCAAAGGAAGCACCGGCUAACUCCGUGCCAGCAGCCGCGGUAAUACGGAGGGUGCAAGCGUUAAUCGGAAUUACUGGGCGUAAAGCGCACGUAGGCUGCUUUGUAAGUCAGGGGUGAAAUCCCACGGCUCAACCGUGGAACUGCCGUUGAUACUGCUUAGCUUGAAUCCGGGAGAGGGUGGCGGCAUUCCAGGUGUAGGAGUGAAAUCCGUAGAUAUGUGGGGGAACAUCAGUGGCGAAGGCGGCCACCUGGACCGGUAUUGACGCAGAGGUGCGAAAGCGUGGAGAGCAAACAGG